GAGUUUGAUCGUGGCUCAGAACGAACGCUGGCGGCAGGCCUAACACAUGCAAGUCGAACGAGCCGAGACCUUCGGGUCUCGAUGCUAGUGGCGCACGGGUGAGUAACGCGUGGGAACGUACCCUUUAGUACGGAAUAACGCAGGGAAACUUGCGCUAAUACCGUAUACGCCCUCCGGGGGAAAGAUUUAUCGCUAAAGGAUCGGCCCGCGUCUGAUUAGGUAGUUGGUGAGGUAACGGCUCACCAAGCCGACGAUCAGUAGCUGGUCUGAGAGGAUGAUCAGCCACACUGGGACUGAGACACGGCCCAGACUCCUACGGGAGGCAGCAGUGGGGAAUAUUGGACAAUGGGCGAAAGCCUGAUCCAGCCAUGCCGCGUGAGUGAAGAAGGCCUUC
RNAcentral lists this ribosomal RNA (394 nucleotides) under uncultured Alphaproteobacteria bacterium. RNAcentral describes it as "bacterial SSU rRNA". It matches the Rfam family "Bacterial small subunit ribosomal RNA", at positions 9 to 419 of the family's 1533-position model. Lineage: Bacteria; Pseudomonadati; Pseudomonadota; Alphaproteobacteria. The record is from RNAcentral.